AACAGUCCUUGCUUUUGUUCCGCUUUCUGAAGCUGGUAUCCUGGGGAGGAGGAGCCACCAAGUGUGAGUGACUUGUUAGUUUUUGUCCAGAGAAGGUAGCCUUCAUCACUGAGGGAAACAUUGAGACCUUUCUCUGAUCUGUCACUGCGACAGAAAUGUUCUUGGAAGUAAUGAAUGAAGUGCAUAAAGACAAAUGAAGUUCAACAUUUUUUUGCAUCAAUAUUGUUUCAUAUUUAGGAAAAAAAUGAGCAAUGGGCUACAUGAGGGCUGAAGGGUACAGGAGACACUCGCAUUACCUGCUCACAGCCCCUCAGAGUAUUUGCUUAUGACUAUGCAAGAGAAGAGUCUGGAUGUGAGGUCAUGGAAGCUCCUCACAAAGCUGAGAUAUUAGAAUCGCGUAGCAGCCCACUAAUAUCAGAUCCUUGCAGAGGCCACACUUUCCUGACUGAUUAGUCAAUGACCAUGGGCUCCUGUCUCUGCCAGACCCCUUAGACUGUGUUCAC
This 503-nucleotide long non-coding RNA is filed under the name Coturnix japonica (Japanese quail). RNAcentral describes it as "lncRNA (ENSCJPG00005009251.1)". Lineage: Eukaryota; Metazoa; Chordata; Aves; Galliformes; Phasianidae. The record is from RNAcentral.